UAGUGAACCAGUACCGUGAGGGAAAGGCGAAAAGAACCCCGGCGAGGGGAGUGAAAAAGAACCUGAAACCGUGUACGUACAAGCAGUGGGAGCCUCUUUUAUGGGGUGACUGCGUACCUUUUGUAUAAUGGGUCAGCGACUUAUAUUCUGUAGCAAGGUUAACCGUAUAGGGGAGCCGGAGGGAAACCGAGUCUUAACCGGGCGUUAAGUUGCAGGGUAUAGACCCGAAACCCGGUGAUCUAGCCAUGGGCAGGUUGAAGGUUGGGUAACACUAACUGGAGGACCGAACCGACUAAUGUUGAAAAAUUAGCGGAUGACCUGUGGCUGGGGGUGAAAGGCCAAUCAAACCGGGAGAUAGCUGGUUCUCCCCGAAAGCUAUUUAGGUAGCGCCUCGUGAAUUCAUCUCCGGGGGUAGAGCACUGUUUCGGCUAGGGGGUCAUCCCGACUUACCAACCCGAUGCAAACUGCGAAUACCGGAGAAUGUUAUCACGGGAGACACACGGCGGGUGCUAACGUCCGUCGUGAAGAGGGAAACAACCCAGACCGCCAGCUAAGGUCCCAAAGUCAUGGUUAAGUGGGAAACGAUGUGGGAAGGCCCAGACAGCCAGGAUGUUGGCUUAGAAGCAGCCAUCAUUUAAAGAAAGCGUAAUAGCUCACUGGUCGAGUCGGCCUGCGCGGAAGAUGUAACGGGGCUAAACCAUGCACCGAAGCUGCGGCAGCGACGCUUAUGCGUUGUUGGGUAGGGGAGCGUUCUGUAAGCCUGUGAAGGUGGCCUGUGAGGGUUGCUGGAGGUAUCAGAAGUGCGAAUGCUGACAUAAGUAACGAUAAAGCGGGUGAAAAGCCCGCUCGCCGGAAGACCAAGGGUUCCUGUCCAACGUUAAUCGGGGCAGGGUGAGUCGACCCCUAAGGCGAGGCCGAAAGGCGUAGUCGAUGGGAAACGGGUUAAUAUUCCCGUACUUGGUGUUACUGCGAAGGGGGGACGGAGAAGGCUAUGUUGGCCGGGCGACGGUUGUCCCGGUUUAAGCGUGUAGGUGUGUGUUCCAGGUAAAUCCGGUUCACUUUAACAC
RNAcentral lists this ribosomal RNA (1067 nucleotides) under Salmonella enterica. RNAcentral's name for it is "partial 23S ribosomal RNA". It matches the Rfam family "Bacterial large subunit ribosomal RNA", at positions 488 to 1556 of the family's 2925-position model. Lineage: Bacteria; Pseudomonadati; Pseudomonadota; Gammaproteobacteria; Enterobacterales; Enterobacteriaceae. The record is from RNAcentral.